Molecule: long non-coding RNA, 701 nt
Organism: Carassius auratus (goldfish)
Lineage: Eukaryota; Metazoa; Chordata; Actinopteri; Cypriniformes; Cyprinidae
Exons: 3
Source: RefSeq, a predicted model, not a curated record
UCAGCGGGCGCCGCCAAAGACCUUUGAACAAUCCAUGGCUAACCUGCAGGCAAAGGCACUGGAGAUAAGGCUUAAGGAGUUUCAUGCAACCGGGCACAGAUUGACAGCAGGAAGGAGCAGCUGGACUUGGCUAAGAAAAAGCUAAAGCAGGCCAAGAAAGAAGCCAAAGGGAGCUCAGGAAACAAGCUGUUUAUGUCAGUAUCUCAUUCCAGACCUCUGAAUAAGGGGACAUUUGUUUGCUCUUCCAGCUAUUAGAGUCCCUUUGUAGAUGAAUAUGAUAUACACAUGUAUAAAACAUUUUAUGUGAGUUCAAGGUCGUGGAGAAGAAAAAGAAAGCUGUGCAGAGGUGAGGAACAGCUGCUGAAGAUGGAGGUUCAGGCUACAGACAGAGAGGAGAAAAAACAGAUCGCCGUGAGCACCUCCAAAUUCAACUACCGUGGCCUGGUGUAAGAACAUGGAGGUGACACUGGAAAAAAUGUAUAACAAAACCUUAAAGGAUAAGUUUGCCUGGGCUAUCGACAUGACUGAACAUGAUGUUGUGUUCCGAGUGUGAUUUAUCUUCCAAUAUGUUUUAUGCAAAAUUUAAUUGAAUCUGUUAACUAAAUUGUGCGGCCAUGUUUUAAAGAUGUUGGCCCUUUUAUAUUGUUCAGUUUUUAUAUCAACCAGAUUCACAUGUUCCAAGUUAUUUUAAGAAAGUUUAA